Molecule: long non-coding RNA, 1491 nt
Filed under: Phoenix dactylifera (date palm)
Lineage: Eukaryota; Viridiplantae; Streptophyta; Magnoliopsida; Arecales; Arecaceae
Description: long non-coding RNA (PDAC_LNC004796)
Source: RNAcentral
CUAAUAAAGCAUGUGAACAAGUUUCAUGAAGCUAGUUCCUAUCAACUACUGGUGGCAAAUCAUCCAGAAAUCAAUCCACCUCUAGAAUUUCGGACAAUCUAUAUUACCGACUGCAUUAGCUAAGACAAUACAAACAAGAUAGCAGCCAACCAAACUAGCUUGCAAGAAGCUUGCAGGCUCAUGAUCCCCAUCCGAGUUAUUGAACCGGCUCUUGCUCGAAGGCCAGUUGACUUGACAAGCUAACUCGUCCUGGGAGCCCACAACAAGCUUAUAUCCAUCUAAAACCACACAAAAUACAAUGCCAUGCACUUGGAAGGAUAGCACGCAAAAAAUUAUUGUCCUACAAAGAUAAUUUACAGAUGAAAACAAAUCCUUUAGCUCCAUUACUAUGAGCACCAACAAAAGAACAAUGGAGAGGGAUCCCGCAACACACCACCCAGUCAGCAACUGAUCAGUAGGAAUUCCAUGGUAAGUUGAAUCAUUCGCCUAACAGAACCAAUGCCGUCCAACGAGACUUAUUUCAAGCAAAAACUUCCCCUCCAAUGUUGACUUAAAUAGAACCUUCACAAUCAGGUAUCACAGUACAGCGGCCCUGUUUGGGGGAGCUGUUGGCAGUAGAGCUGUUGGAAGUAGAGCUGUCUGAAGUAGAACUGUUAUAAAAAGCUGUUUGUUGUUUAGUAACUAUAUUUUUAAAGUGUUGUGGCACUUUAACAUAUGUUUGGUAAACAAACUGAGAAAGUACUUUUAUAUGACAAAAUUACCAUAAAGGACAAUGCAUAGUAUUAUACAAUAGAGCAUGAUAAAACAUAACAUAUAUUAAUACAUAAUAUACGAUAUAGUAUAAUAUUACUAUAAUAUAAAAUAUUAUUAUUAUAAUAUAGUAAUAUGAUAUUGCAUAGCAUAGCAUAAUGGUAAUAUAAUUAUUAGAGUAAAUUAAUUUUCUAUUAUAUAACAUAAUAUUAAAUUAUUUAACAUAACAUAUUAAUGUAUUAUGAUAUAAUGUAAUAUAUAUUAUAUUUAUAGUAUAAUACAAUAAUAAAGAUAUAAAAUAUUAUAAUUAUUAGUAUUAAUUAAUUUCUCAUACAAUAAUAAAGAUAUAAAAUAUUAUAAAAUACAAUGCCAUGCACUUGGAAGGAUAUCACGCAAAAAAUUAUUGUCCUACAAAGAUAAUUUACAGAUGAAAACAAAUCCUUUAGCUCCAUUACUAUGAGCACCAACAAAAGAACAAUGGAGAGGGAUCCCGCAACACACCACCCAGUCAGCAACUGAUCAGUAGGAAUUCCAUGGUAAGUUGAAUCAUUCGCCUAACAGAACCAAUGCCUUCCAACGAGACUUAUUUCAAGCAAAAACUUCCCCUCCAAUGUUGACUUAAAUAGAACCUUCACAAUCAGGUAUCACAGUCCAGCAUCUCAUGUUAAUUACCGUUUGGACUUAUUUGGUGCUUUUAAAAAUGCUUGCUCUGUAGUAUUUGAGUUCCCUUAUGCUUUCUUU